Molecule: ribosomal RNA, 497 nt
Filed under: uncultured bacterium
Lineage: Bacteria
Description: partial 16S ribosomal RNA
Rfam family: Bacterial small subunit ribosomal RNA
Source: RNAcentral
GAUGAACGCUGGCGGCGUGCCUAAUACAUGCAAGUCGAGCGAACAGACGAGGAGCUUGCUCCUCUGACGUUAGCGGCGGACGGGUGAGUAACACGUGGAUAACCUACCUAUAAGACUGGGAUAACUUCGGGAAACCGGAGCUAAUACCGGAUAAUAUAUUGAACCGCAUGGUUCAAUAGUGAAAGACGGUUUUGCUGUCACUUAUAGAUGGAUCCGCGCCGCAUUAGCUAGUUGGUAAGGUAACGGCUUACCAAGGCAACGAUGCGUAGCCGACCUGAGAGGGUGAUCGGCCACACUGGAACUGAGACACGGUCCAGACUCCUACGGGAGGCAGCAGUAGGGAAUCUUCCGCAAUGGGCGAAAGCCUGACGGAGCAACGCCGCGUGAGUGAUGAAGGUCUUCGGAUCGUAAAACUCUGUUAUUAGGGAAGAACAAAUGUGUAAGUAACUAUGCACGUCUUGACGGUACCUAAUCAGAAAGCCACGGCCAACUACGUG